GAUGAAGAACGCAGCGAAAUGCGAUACGUAAUGUGAAUUGCAGAAUUCAGUGAAUCAUCGAAUCUUUGAACGCACAUUGCGCCCGCCAGUAUUCUGGCGGGCAUGCCUGUUCGAGCGUCAUUUCAACCCUCAAGACCCCUUCGGGGGACUUGGUGUUGGGGACCGGCAUAGGGGCCUUGCGCCCCUCGCCGCCCCCGAAAUGAAUUGGCGGCCUCGUCGCGGCCUCCCCUGCGUAGUAGCACAACCUCGCAACGGGAACGUGACGGCGGCCACUGCCGUAAAACAACCCAAUUUUAUUAGAGUUGACCUCGAAUCAGGUAGGAAUACCCGCUGAACUUAAGCAUAUCAAUAAGCGGAGGA
This 360-nucleotide unclassified non-coding RNA is filed under the name soil metagenome. RNAcentral's name for it is "partial contains 5.8S ribosomal RNA, internal transcribed spacer 2, and large subunit ribosomal RNA". The stretch from base 1 to 120 matches the Rfam family "5.8S ribosomal RNA", at positions 35 to 154 of the family's 154-position model. The record is from RNAcentral.